RNAcentral lists this ribosomal RNA (274 nucleotides) under uncultured bacterium. RNAcentral describes it as "partial 16S ribosomal RNA". It matches the Rfam family "Bacterial small subunit ribosomal RNA", at positions 523 to 796 of the family's 1533-position model. The record is from RNAcentral.
AGACGGAGGGCACAAACGUUGUUCGGAAUUACUGGGCAUAAAGAGCACGUAGGCGGCCUGCUAAGUCUAAUGUGAAAUCCCUCGGCUCAACCGGGGAACUGCAUUAGAUACUGGCAGGCUCGAGGAUGGCAGGGGUAAGUGGAACUCCAGGUGGAACGGUGAAAUGUGUAGAUAUCUGGAGGAACACCGGUGGCGAAAGCGGCUUACUGGGCCAUCUCUGACGCUGAGGUGCGAAAGCUAGGGUAGCAAACGGAAUUAGAAACCCCAGUAGUCC